RNAcentral lists this long non-coding RNA (10932 nucleotides) under Malus domestica (apple). RNAcentral's name for it is "long non-coding RNA (MDOM_LNC009446)". The record is from RNAcentral. Lineage: Eukaryota; Viridiplantae; Streptophyta; Magnoliopsida; Rosales; Rosaceae.
AGUUAAUAAAAUUACAUAUUCAUGCUAAAGGCUCAUGGCUUCGCCCUAGCAAAAGAAAUUUGUUACACAUACUCAUAAUAAAAAUCAAAGAAAAUAUUUUUAGAAUGAAAACACCUUGAAGUAGAAGAUCUAAAAGCCUUUGAAAACCCUAGCAAAGUUCUCUGUCUCCAAAGUUGAAUAAAAGAAAGCGUAACCCAAACUAAGGCUGACUAAAACCUUAAAUAUAUCCCUAAAACCAGCGGCACAAUCCCUGAGAACCAAGUCUCUUAUUUCCACUAGGAAGCUAACUAAUAAUAAUAAUAUAACUUAGAAAAUAGAGUUUUAAUUAAACUAGGACAAUCUGCACAUAAACUGUCCAGCCACGUUUUAGCCUCAAAUCUCCCCUAAAUUCAGCCCCUAAUAGCUUGUUUUGAAGAUCGGGACAUUCUGAACACAUCUCUAGAAGGCCAUGAACCCAUCCGAGGUCAUCUUGGGCUCCAAAAAUGCAAUUCAAGCCCAAAAUGUUAUUAUUCCAACAUCUUUAUUCUAUUGCCAGAAAAUAACCGCCUGGUGGAAAAGUCUGAUAUUUUGACACGAUCAAGCUAAGUGACUCACGAACGUCCUCCAAUUGGAAUUACUACAAAAUUCAUCAAUUUGACCAUGUUUUGCUCCAGAGGAAGUCGAAAGUCCUAUAAUGGAAAUACAAUUCAACGUAUCAAAAUUCUUCCAAAAUAUUAACCAAAAUAUACUAAGAAUAGGGUUAAAUAUAUAAUAUAAAAUUCACUCAUCAAAAUACCUCCAAACUUAGCUUUUUGCUUGUCCUCAAGCAAAACAAGACUCAAACAAAAAUAAAAACUUAACAAACUAGACACCUAGCUAAAACUUAACCAAGACAAAACUUCCACCUUCAAGUUGCAAUCCAUAGCAAAUUUUAAAAACUAGAACAUUUUUCAAACGAUCCACCCAAUCCCACCACAGUGUCUAAGCUAUUUAGAAUCAAUUAGAAAAGAAUUCACAAACUUCCGUUUGUGUAAAGUGAAUCAUCAAAGUUAAAGAGACUCGACGAAAACCCUUACCUCUCAUCCCUAUUAUUCAUACUUCACAUACUUAUAUAAUCAUUCUUUUUUUGUUUUGUUUUCGAUUUUGUUGUUAUAUAAUAUUUUUUUCCAGUAACAGUAGUGGUCAGGCAAUAUCGGUUCCCUUAAACUUUCGAUCCAACCCAUGUAGCGAGCUUUAGGUCAAUGACUCCCAAACCACUAGGGCUUUAGGGCACUAGGUGUAGAACACUCCUAAGGACUUAUUAACUUGAGUUGAAAAGGCUAUGAAACCAACUAACCACCCUGCCCAUGUCAAAACUCUACCGUUUGAUUCGAGAAUCACUGCUGAUUAGGCAGAACUAACCUGGUUACUAGGCAAAGCCUCGGGUGAAACAAUUAUUACUUUGUAACACAUACUAACUUUAUUUUAUAUAGAACAAAAAUUAAAAUACACUUAGACAAAAAGUAAGUGUUUCAAUCUCACUCCCCACAAACCAUGUUGGUGUGAUGUGCAAAUUUCAAAGUAUAAUUCAUGAAUUAGUGUCUAAGCAACGAUAAAUAGAAAAGACCCUACUGUGGGAUUAACCCUUAUCAUGUCCAUUUGUUUUAAUGUUUAAAACAAACUAUGGAUACUAACUUAAAAACGAAAAUUUUAGACAAGACUCAAAAAUUAAAAAUCUAAAAUUUACUUUCCCACCCCCAAACUUAAAUCACACAUUGUCCUCAACAUGUGGAAAAUAAAUAAAAAAAAACGAUAAGAUAAAAACAAUUGGAACUAAGAUGAAGAAACUAAACUAUUCAAAAUCAUGAAAAGAAAACGAAAAUGAAAAAAACUAAAAGGAAAAGAAGUAACAAAAAAAAACAAAAUAACAGAGAGAAAAAUAAAGAAAAAUAAAGAAACUAAACUAUUCAAAACAUCCUUCUCAGACAGACAUGGAAGGCUCUAGAUUUGUACAAGUGUCGUGCAUCCCGAUGGUGAGUUCCUUAGGAUUCCAACUGAAAAGCUCCAUCAGGUUCCAUUUCUCUUAGAAACCAGUUCUCUCUAAAAUGAAAAGAACUCUCCUCCUCUAUCUUUAGAAAAUCUGAAAAGAUUCUCUCUAAGCUCUUCCCAUUUUCAAAACUCUCAAACCCAGCCAUCAUUUCAAACCUCCCUUUCAAAACAGCCCAUUCUCUUCCACUUCUUCAUUUCUCUGAAAGAAAAACUCAAGAGCAUUCUCUCUCUUGCUUCAUUUCGGAAAUAACACCCUAAGAAUCAGCCUUAGCCGUUCUUCUCAACCAAACCUUCCGUCUCCCAUGCCUCAAGCCAUCAUGGAUUCAAGCUCAGAUCAUCAUCACCGGCAGUGUCUGAGAUGCUUAGACCCAAAGAUUCAAAGUCCAAUCAUGCAGAUUGAGACCAUUUCGAACAUGCAACAGUAAUCACCUCCCACUCUAUGCAAUAUAUAUAUUUACUAAUUUUGUUUUCCCUGUGAUUCGUCCUUGUAUGAGCUCACACUGAAGGUCUUAUGUGGUAGGGGCUGGAGAUCCGUAAGGAAAAUGAAGAUAUAUACCCGAAGAGUCCCCCCAAUUCACGGAUCUAUGAACUCGAAACACACAGAUCUACGAACAUAGAUUCGGUAUAACCAAGGUCUUAAAUGCCGAUAAUAUCGGCGAAAUAUCGCUGAUAUUAUCGAUUUUUCGCGUUACCGAUAUUUUAAUAGGUAUCCAAUUAGUUUCGUCAAAAUAUCACGAUAUUACCUAUAAUAUCGAGAUGUUUCGCCGAGAAUAUCGAGAUUAUACCAGAUCUGUUUAUUGGGUUGGCUGAGGAUUUCGUUUCCAACGAAGAGGUACCGAAUCAGAGUCUCCGGGUAAAAGGGGACGACGUUGGUGUGGACCCAAUGGUCGGCGAGCGUCUGAUUGGAGGCAGUGAGGAUUUUGGGGUUGGCGUCGUAGAGCUUGACUCGCUUGGCCUUGAGAGACUGGAUGAGCUUCACCGACUGCGACGGUGGAGGGAGGUUGUUGCCCAGCUGGCCAUAGUUCACACCCACCUUGGAGGCGAGCUCCGCACCUGAAAAAAUCAAAAGGGGUGAGAGAAAAAUACCAAAUGAACAAAACCCAUGUCGCAAUUUUUGAGAUUUUGGGGAAGAAACUUACUGGAAAUGGAAACUGAGAGGCAGAGGAUGAGCAGGGGGAGAAAACCCAACUCCAUUUUUUGUGGAUUUUGAGCUGCCAGAGUAACUAAAAGAUGAGCUUUUCCUAAUUGCGUGAGUUUUAGAGCAGAAAGAAGUGAUCUGGAGCUCAAAGAUUGGAUCUUUGAGGAAAAAAAUAAGAGAUAAAAUGAAGGAACUAGGGCGCACUGAGCUGCUGCUACUGGACCCUUGUAUAAAAAAGGAAGGAGUGAGAUGUUGCAGGUGUUUGAGGAGUGAAAGAAGAUUGGGAAUAGAAAAGAUAAAGAAAAGAAGAAAGGGAUGAGAGAGAGAGAGAGAGUGAGCAGAUGACUUUAUAGAAAAGAUAAAGAAAAGAAGAAAAGGACGAGAGAGAGAGAGAGAGAGAGAGAGAGAGAGAGAGAGAGAGAGAGAGAGAGAGAAAGAGAGAGAGUGAGCGGAUGGAAGGAUGGAAGGAAAGAAUAAAAGGUUAGACUGUUUUUGGGGUUUAUUAAAUUAUUAUUAAGUUAAUGAGGCUUACUAUUUUGCUUGGUUUCCAUCAAACCCAAAAAUACUUGAAAAAUUGUGUGUUUAAACUUUUUUCAUUAAUUACUACAUAUUUUCUACACUCACAAUGUUUGCCAGCUCGUUAUAUAAUCAACUUAAAUCAGUUAAAUCCAUCAUGCAAUGAAUUUCCUUCUAAUUUUUUGUGAUAAACUAAUAGAUAAUUGACUAAAUAAACAUCCUGCAAAGUUUCAAUAAAAAUUUCCAAGUUUUUCUUACAAUUUCCGUGGUUUCCAUAUUAUUUUUAUUGAUAUCGAUAAUAUCCCGAUAUUUCCAUCGAUAUUUCCGUGUUUUUGGACUACCGAUAUUUCCGAUAUCAUCGAUAUUUAAUACCUUGGUUAUAACUCAUCCUCUUUCAAUUUAUUGCAAGUUUAAUCUUGACUACCCCCAAACUUGAAUGCUGCAAUAGUGAUCUGCUAAGUUUAUAUCUAAUGGUCAAAGUUUGUGUGUUUGUAAAUUCGAAUCACAAAAUUAACUGGACCUACUGGGAAGCUAAGAGAAAAUCCUAAAUGCACAUUUGCAUAGGUAUAAUCCCGAACUUGCUCCAUAUUUUCUUCAUUGAUUUAAGCUUUAAGUAACUGUUGUGGUUGAUAGUAGACUUGCUGUUGGGUGCAUCUAGUACUUGCAUUUCCGUAUCUUGUUUGUGCCUGGAAUGUUUUGAAAGCAACAUGCAUAUUCGUAGACUUUUGUAUCAGAUUCACAUAGAUAUUGCUAGAAAAAGAUAAAUUAAAAACAAAAUAUUUUUGUAGUUUUCAAAUUUUUUUUAAUUUUUAAUUUUUAAUUGCAUAGUAAGUGAAACAAAUAAUAACGAAAUUAACAACCAUAAAAUACUUGACCAAAUUUAAAAGAAACUAAAAAGAGUAGGGAUAGAAAAUUGGGUUGCCUCCCAACAAGUGUUUUAGUUAACGUCCAUAGCUAGAUGUUGCCGAAGGCUAGUGAUCAAGUUAUUUGUUCCUUCAGAGUUGAUGACUCGCUUGCACUAAACUUCCUUAUAAAUGGCUUUAGUUAAUACUUCUUGACCUUGAGCAUACAACCCUUUCCCUUUAUUUCAAUAUCCACGUUACCAUUUUGAAAAACCUGCAUAACCAUAUAAGGGCUUUUCCACUGAGACUCUUGUCACCCUGGAAUUAAUUUAAAACUGGAAUUCAACAACCACACCUUUUUACCAGUCUGUAAUUUCUUAAAAUUUGGGUUGCCUUGCAACUUUUUAUGUUUUUUCUUAAUGUUAAUCGGUUGGACAUCAUGUUGCACACUUUGUUGCUGCAUUUUAGGACUUAUGCAAUCAGAAAUCAAAUUUGGAGGCUUUAUGGACAGAUGGUCAGUUGAUGAUCUGGUCAUAAACUCGGCACUAGGUAAACCAUCUAAUGCAUCAACAUGCAUGCAUUCUUGCUUUUCACCUGGAUGUGUGGUAGCUUCAAACAACCUAAAAACAACCGUUUGAUCUUCAACCCGAAAUGUUAGUGUUCCAGCUUCAACGUCAAUGAGAGUACCAGCUGUUACCAUGAAAUGGUAGCCCAAAUGAUGGGUGUUUUCAAAUCCUCAUCCAUGUCUAGAACCAUAAAAUCAGCUGGCAAAAAUAAGUUGUCCACCUUUACAAUAACAUCUUCAGUGACCCCUCUAGAAUAGGUUAUUGAACGAUCUGCCAAUUGAAUAAUGCUAGAGGUUGGCUUCAGCUCACCUUCACCUAGACGUUUAAACAGAAAAUAAGUUGUCCACCUUUACAAUAACAUCUUCAAUGACCCCUCUAGGAUAGGUAAUUGAACGAUUUGCCAAUUGAAUAAUGUUGGAGGUUGGCUUCAACUCACCUUCACCUAGACGUUUAAAAAUAGAAUAAGGCAUUAAGUUUACACUAGCUCCUAAAUCAAUUAAAGCACUAUUACAAUCAAAAUUUCCAAUGGUGCAAGAGAUAGUAAAACUCCCUGGAUCUUUUUUCUUUGGAGCCAAUUCAUGCAAUAAGACAGCGCUGCAUUGUUCUGUUAGCAUAAUUUUUCUGACUCAACAAGCUUUCUUUUCUUACUGCAAACAUCCUUAAAAAUUUUGGCAUAGGAAUGAAUCUUUCUAAUGGCUUCCAACAAUGGCAAAUUAAUAUGAACUUUAGCUAAAGUUUGCAUAAAAUCUUUUAAUAGCUGAUCAUUAGCCUUCAAAAUCAAUCUUUCUGGGUAUAGUGUUGGAGGCUCAUAAACAUGUUCAGGAGUUUGCACUGAGGGAAUGUUAGAUUCUGUCAGGUUGUGUUUUGCUGCAAUUUUAGUAAUUGUUUUUUAUGUUGGCUGCACAACGCUAAUUUCUUCAUUUGUUCAGUUGUUAUAACUAUUUCCGGAUCUCAAAGUCCUUAUUGCACAACAAUCUUCUGUACCUCUUGGAUUUGGAACUGUUUGGCUGGGAAAUUUCCCUUUUUCUCUUUCUGUGAUAUAACUUGCUAACUGCCCAAAUUGUUCUCCAAACUUUUAAUUGAUGCUUCAACAUUUUGAAUUCUUUAUUGCUGCCAUCUAUGAAUGAUUGAGUUGUGGCUGCCAAUUUAGCAAGUUGAUCUUCCAAAGAUGGUUUGGAUGGAAUAAAUGGUUUUUGUGUAUUCUGGAAUGGUUUUGCAUUAUUCUGAUUGUCACCCGAUUUGAAAUUAGGGUGAUCCCUCCAUCUUAUAUUGUAAUGAGUUGCAUAUGCAUCAUUCCUAGGCCUUUGAUAGCUAUGCAUCAUAUUAACAUGUUGCUUAACAAGCUCCGGGUAGGAUUCUUUAUGCAAGCAUCCCAUUAUAUCGUGCUUAGCCAUGCUGCAAAUACUGUAAACUGUUGGUGUAGGUGGUUGUUGUGUAGAAUUUGCUAUUUGUUGUAGAAUAAUAUCAAACUUUGCAUCCAUUUUCUUCUCCAUUUUUUCUAUUUGUGCAGACAUGUUAGGAGAACCUGCUGAUAACUCAAAAAUACCCCUUUUCUGUGAAUGUUCUGCUGCCCACUAUUGAGAUUCUAUAGCCAUCAUGUCAAAUAAUUAAAAUACCUCCCUUGCAGAUUUAUUUGACAACGAUCCUCCAGUUGAGGCAUUAACAUGGCUUUUAGAUGUAGGAUUAAGCCCAUCAAAGAAAAUAUUCAUUUGUGUAUCUGAAUCAAUAUUUACAUGUGGACACUUUAUGUACAUCUUUGUAUAUCUCUCCUAAGCUUCAUAGAACUCUUCAUUAGGCUUUUGAGUGAAUGCCAUAAUUUCCCUCUUAUAAUUCAUUGUCUUGGAUGUUGGAUAAUGUUUAUUCAGAAAUUUUGUAUGUAAUUGUUGCCAAGAAGUAAUGCUAUUAGCCGGUAGAGUGAACAACCAAAUUUCCGCCUUAUCCUUCAAAGUGAAAAGGUAAAGACGUAACUUAAUAGCUUCGUAGAAAAACCCCUAAUCAAAAUAUUUUUGCAACCCACAAGAAAUUUUGCAAUAUGUAUGUUCAUAUCCUUGUUAGGCAGCCCACGAAACGUUGGUAAAAUUUCAAGCAUGUGGUGCUUGAUUUCGAAUGUGUCUCCCUCUUCUUGGGCAUGAUAGACUAUACAAUUAGGAACAUCAUUUGCACGGGCAGCCAAUGACUAUCUGAGUGGUUUGCCUGUUGCAGGUAUUGCUAACAUCAUUUUAACCUCGUUGUCCACAAAUACAGCAAACAAAUCCUUCAGAAAUGUGUUAUGCAGUGAAGGAUCAAAUGCUAAAACUGUUCUCUAUGCUGUUUUCGUAAUAACCGUUCAAGUUCUGGGUUAAAUGGAACAAAUUGUGUAGGUUGUGAUAUGGUGCUGACCAUGCACAGAUUUCAGCAAUAAAAAAAAAACGAAAUAUUUUUUUUAAUUUUAAAAAAAAAAUGAAAAUAAUUAACUAAGAAUAUGAUAAAAACAAAUUAAUUAAAAAAAUCCCCGACGUCGGCGCCAAUUUCUUGAUAGGAUUUUUAGUACCUGCGCAAAUAGGGUUAAAAUCACUAAAAAUACUUGUAAGAAUACAAGGUAAUUGUAGUAUAGAUGCUCAUGCAACGUCGUUGUCCCCAAAGAUUUGUUGACUAAUUUGUAAUUAAACUAACUCUUAAUUAAUUAUUAAAACAGAUUUUAUCAAAGAUUUGAGAUUUAUGAAUUUAAAAAGAUUAGAUAAACAAUAAAAGAAAUCUUAAAGUUUGGAAAUAAUGGCAGCAAAGAAGAAAAACGCUUUUAAAUUAAAAUCAAUUAAGGGAAAUCUAGGGUUUAGCCGUCACCGUCACAAUCCUAUGCAAUUCUAUCAAUUACUUAUGAAUUUCCACAUACAUGCCUUAAAUGUUAGGUUUUCCUAAUGCAUAUUUUCCUUGUAAUGUUCAAGCGAAAACGUAUAUCUAACAUGCAAUCCGUCUGUGAUGUUCAGAUCAAAUAUAAACAUGCAAGAUUCAUUAAGUUUCAUGAAAACCCUUUGAAAAACCAUGCAACCCUUAAGAGCGUGAUGUUCGCCUAAAGUGAACUUACAAUUACAAAUCAAAUUACUUGUCUAAAUAUCCUAAUGGUGAUCAAUCAUUAAAAUAUAUAGAUAUUUUUAAUCUCGAUGAUUAAUAAUUCAAAGCAAGCAUGCAUGUCACAGCCCGUCCCGGGAUUUUCUUAUUAAGGACGUGAAAUGAUGGAUUUACCCUUAGCGGGUAUUAAGGUAUGUGUGUGACAUUAUUUGGUUUAACUUUAGAUAUGUUUGGGAAGAAAAUAAAUAAGAUGAGUUGGAUUAUUAAAUUUGGUUUUUGUUAAUUUUGGUUAGGGAUUUAGAUGAUGGAUGGUGUGGAUUGAAAUGGACCAUCUAAACCCUUACCCUCUUUCUAUCCCGUAGCUCUCUCUCUCUCCUCCAUCUCGACACUCUCUCUCUCACACCCAUAUUGUACGGCCACACCCAAAACCCCCCAAAACUCAGCGGAUCGAAGUAAACAAGUUAAGAAUCUUCAUCCUCGUGAUGUUUUGAGUUGAUUGGUGCUAGUUUUAGGACGUGGAACCUUCGAUUUCACGUGAACCCGAACCCCCCAUUUUUUGUCACUGUUCAUGCACACGUGAAAUGUUGUGUUUCAGGGAAUUCUAAGCUUAUAGUGAGCUUAGUGAGGUCCCAAGGAAGCUCGGAGUGCUUCGUUUGAAGGAUUUGGACGUCGGGAUCACGAGGGUUGAGUUUGGCCGGUUUUGCUUGGAUUUUUCCUGUGAGGUUUAGUUGUUUUUGGAGCUUAAAAAUAGUGUAUCGUGACUCUACAUGUUUGGGGCUUCAUUUUGGUAUAAAAUACGAAGAAAAUGGUUGAGAAACGAAGGAGAACAAGGCGUUUAAAGUUUGGCCGGAAACCGGCCGCCGGAAAAACCAGUCCGGCGAACCAAGGUUGGGGGGUGACGCGCGUGGGGGCGCGUGCGACACCAAAAAAUUAAUCUAAAAAUUUCUCGACGUUCGUGACGUCGAGUAGGUCGAUGGUAUAUUCAUAUAUCCAAAUUGAGCAUCGUAUGAGAAGUUAUUUCGAAUUGUUGAUUAUGUGUUUAAAUUAACGUUUUUAUAGUUGUUUCGCAUAUAGGUGACACCUAUCCCAAGGACGAGCGCAUCCAGGGAUGUCACGGGGGUUACGACCCAUCAACUUAUCAGUGAGUGGGCAGUUUUGUUUUUGUAUUACCUAUAUACAACUGUUUUUCCCAGAAAAUGCGUUUAUAUGAAAAUUAUGAUUUAAAUUGCCAUGCAUGCAAAUGUUGAGAUAUUUAGUUUGAUAAUGGAUGCAUAUAUAUGUUAAUUGACGCGAUGGACGCACAGGUGAGUUUUUAUAUUAUUCAUAUGAGUUAUUUUAUGAGAAUUGCAUUGAAAGCUCAUAACCUGCACCCUAGGUGUUAGUGCUUAUAUUAUUAUUCACCACACCGCAUGCUCGUCUUGGAUCCAAGUAGGUAGAUGUCGUACAGACCAUGUGAAGGUUCCGACAUGCUAGUCGUAUAGAUCACUAGAUGUGAUUCCGACUAGUGGGUGACCUUAGUUAUGCGCGCUGAUGAUUGAUGAGAGAAGCACUAAAGCGUAUUUAUACACUUUUCAUCGUACAGACUACUAUACGUAGUUCCGAGUGAUGUGCAGUGUAGUGUCGUACAGGUCACAGUUGGUGACUCCGGCAGGGCCGUAUAGGUCACUGUGGUGACUCCGGCUGAGUGGGAUGUUGAGCUUUAGAAUCAGCCAUACAGGACCAUUGUAGGGUCUCCGGUUGAUUUAUUAUUUCACCUGAUUGAUAUUGAUGCAUUUCUGAUUAUAUUUGGCAUGGCGUGGCAUAUUAUUUCUGAGAUGUUAUGUUGAUGGAUAUGAGCUGAGUUUUGAUGAUAUGUGUAUAUAUAUGUUUAUAUACUAUUUUUCUGGGAAAGUAUACAGGUUUUACGGUGAGGGGUUAGAAAUGUUUUAAAUGAAAUGUUUUGGAAAAUCUUUGAUUUUACUGACCCACUUAUCUUUGUUUUGCGCCCCUCCAGGUUCUAGUUAGCGGUUGGUGGCUCUCGGGGUCUUUUUCGGCAUUCUGACAGACGUUCUGCAUGUAGGGCUCACCUGCGGGUGAUGUAUUUUAUUUUGGUCCUACUUGACUGCACUUAAACCUAUGCUCUGAAUUUAUGUGUUUACCUUAUAACUCAUCCUUUUAUUCUAGUAGGUGGUUAUACUAGAGAUGGUUUGAAUUCCUUCAUAUUCUGUUAUAUCUUGCUUCCGUGUCGCACUUUUGGUUACGUCACGCUCUGACGGCCAGCACGCCUUGAUCCUCUGGGUCGGGGUGUGUCAAUGCAUCCAUUCAUAAGCAAGUUAAUAAAAUUACAUAUUCAUGCUAAGGCUCAUGGCAUCGCCCUAGCAAAAGAAAUUAGUUACACAUACUCAUAAUAAAAAUCAAAGAAAAUAUUCUUAGAAUGAAAACACCUUGAAGUAGAAAAUCUAAAAGCCUUUGAAAACCCCAGCGUAACACAAACUAGGGUUGACUAAAAUAUAUCCCUAAAACCAGCGGCACAAUCCCUGAGAACCAAGUCUCUUAUUUCCACUAGGAAGCUAACUAAUAAUAAUAAUAUAACUUAGAAAAUAGAGUUUUAAUUAAACUAGGACAAUCUGUACAGAAACUGUCCAGCCACGUUUUAGCCUCAAAUCUCCUCUAAAUCUGUCCCAUAAUAGCUUAAUUUGAAGAUCGGGACGUUUUGAACACAUCUCCAUAAGGUCACAAACCCAUCUGAGGUCAUCUUGGACUCCAAAAACACAAUUCAAGCCCGAAACAUCACUAUUCCAGCACCUUUAUUCUAUUGCCAGAAAAUAACCGCCUAGUG